Canis lupus familiaris (dog) is the source of this 1906-nucleotide long non-coding RNA. RefSeq lists it as uncharacterized. Lineage: Eukaryota; Metazoa; Chordata; Mammalia; Carnivora; Canidae. The transcript has 3 exons. The record is from RefSeq and is a predicted model, not a curated record.
AUGGAGGCUAGGAGAAAAAUAUUCUAUGAACAUAGUAACAGUGAUCAAGAGCUACACUUUGUUGAGUGCUCACUAUGUGCUACUAGUGCUUAAGGGUUUUAUACUCAUUCUUUCACUUAAUGUUCACAGAGAGCCCACAAAGUGGCUCUGUUACAAAUGCUUCUUUGGAAUGAGGAGACUGAAGCUUGAAGAGGUUAUGUGAACUUGACUAAAGUUUCACACCGAUCCACAGCAAAGAUGGCGACACGAAUCCAGGUGGAUAUUUUCCAUACUAUCCUCAAAGCUGUAAUUAUAACAGAAUAAUAAGCAUAGGAUCAGCUCUCUUUUAGGUAUAAAUAACUUCCAGGAAUAUGAGCACCAGUUAGAAAAUAAACCUGGUGGCAUUUGUGGCUGGAGCUGGAUGAUUUCCACAGCAUACAUCCUUUUUACCUGCGCCUUGGAGCUUCUGGUGAGUCUGCAGGGGCAACUCCCCGAGCCACAGAAGCCAGGAAUUCUUGUCUCUUCUGCUGUACAAGGCAUGCUGCCUUGAUGAUCUUGUGGCGGGGUGUGCGAAGGUAAGGCCUAUUGACUUUUUGGGCAAGGUCUUCAGUGACCAUUUCUAGGUCUGUCUAUGGUAAUAAGAGAGAGAGAAAAAAAGGAUUAUAGGCUGAAUAAGUUAGUCAAUAGCAAAUUCAUUAUCUAUUUGGUUUCUCAGUUAAAUCUAACUCUUUUGAAUUCCGAAAUUAAUCCAAAUUAUAAAAUAACUUAUUUAACAUAUACUUCUAUUUUGUGCAUUUCAGGAAAAUAGUACUCAUCUGAAAGUCAUUUAUAACAAUGUAGUCGGUACAAAGACAUAGUGAGUAUGCUAGAACUCUAUAGGGAAUUUAAAAUUUGUCUAUGUGAAAAAAAAAUGAGUAGAUUUCAAGGCACUGUACAUGCAAAUACAUGACUACGUAGUGAAAACUACAUGGAAACGGUGAAGGAAUCUGAGGCAAGGCAAGAUCUCUGUGAUCUAGGCUUAGGUCUGAAAGGUUUCAUGGAAAAAAUUAAUAUUGAGCACCUUUUAAAGAAAUGUGGGAUAUAGAUUACUAGAGGGCAGUUCAAAGGAGUGGCAUGAAAAUUGUGGCAAGAGAAGAAAGUUUGGUGUAUUAAAAAAAAAAAGAAUGUAUAAUGAAGUUGGUUAGCUAUAGUGAUCAGUUGGCUUUGGUGUUGUUUUUUUAAAUAUUCUAACUUUUUCACUUGUACUUUUAAAAUAAACUGGCACACAGUAACUUUCCCAUCUAGUAUGUAAUGUGUUUUGUUUCAUCUUUGAAGAUAAAGUUUCUAGUUACAUAAUCAGAAAUAGGCUAGAUUUCAACAUCAACCAGUUUAGGAUAAAUAAAUAAAUGUGGUAGGAAAUGUUUGCAUAGCUCAGAACUCACUCAGAUUUACUGUGGUGAAUUUAAUUAUAAAAAAAUUUCAGUUUAUUACUAGUAACUUUUCCUUCUUUAAAAAUCACUGUAAACAUGAAAAUAAAAUUUUCUACUAGUCACACCCAAAUAAGAUAAAAUGUAGUUAAGUGGUUGAAAAAGGACAAAAUCUGUUUUUUUUAUAGUAAUUGCAUUUAAAUUUAAUUUUAAAAAGAUAUCUUACUUGCAUGAGUUCAAAAAUUUCUUUCUUUGUGCUUUUAGGUUCUAAGAAAAAUCCAUAUGGAUAAGAACACUUGAGAAUGCGUCGAGUUUUUAAGAGCACAUGAACUGCAUCUUCAAUGAAAGUAGUAUCUGGACAGCCUCCUUCAGCUAUAAAGUAAAUCAGGCAGAGUGAAAAAAAAAAACUUCUGCAAAUAUGCUGUCAUAAAUUAAUUAAACAAUGAGUUUUCUCAAACAAACAAAAAAGGCUCUCUAUUUAGAAACUGCUUGAAGUAACUGUAUGGUAAUACUUAUUUGAA